Molecule: long non-coding RNA, 630 nt
Organism: Arachis ipaensis
Lineage: Eukaryota; Viridiplantae; Streptophyta; Magnoliopsida; Fabales; Fabaceae
Source: RefSeq, a predicted model, not a curated record
UNAUCUUCACAUGUUGGUGCCACUAAUCCAUGGUCAGCAAUCAAGCUUGAUAGGUCCUCAGUUUCACUCAAGGACAGUGAGUGUGGAUCAACAAGUACAGUCCUCACAAACACUAAUUACUGCAGAUCCCUUGUUGCAUAUCAUCAUCAUGGAGAUAGGUAGUGAUAGUGCAACUUUGCUGAGUGUUCCUCUUCUUCUACUUUGUAGACUUUCUUCCUGUGUCUUACUUUGUAAGAAUUCAUUGUAACGGUUUUGUGGACUGUGUAUAAGUUUUUAACAAGCGAUGUAUUCCCUAAAUAGAUUCAAGUUUACUAAGACUAAAUUAUGUGAGGCUUUCCAAAUAAACAUCUUCACCUUUAGAGGAACAUUCAUUUCCAUAACUCCCUCCUAUCCUCACUCAGUCACUUGUUGAAGCUGCAUUUACAUUCACUGCCUGUUUUCCAAUUGUUAAAAUACUAUGUACUAUGGGCUAUGAAUCAGAUUUGAGAACUUUACGCUUUAGCCCAUUACAUAGUUCAUUUCAAACUACAAGGUGGUCUAAAAUCAGAUUUGUAGGGCUUCAUAAGCCCAUUACCACAAAAGAUAAGAAUAUUAUUUGUUAUCCAUUAUCCAUUACACAAAAAAUCAUUC